This 483-nucleotide ribosomal RNA is filed under the name uncultured bacterium. RNAcentral's name for it is "partial 16S ribosomal RNA". It matches the Rfam family "Bacterial small subunit ribosomal RNA", at positions 28 to 523 of the family's 1533-position model. The record is from RNAcentral.
GACGAACGCUGGCGGCGUGCCUAAUACAUGCAAGUCGAGCGAACCACUUCGGUGGUGAGCGGCGAACGGGUGAGUAACACGUAGGUGAUCUGCCCAUCAGACGGGGACAACGAUUGGAAACGAUCGCUAAUACCGGAUAGGACGAAAGUUUAAAGGUGCUUCUGGCACCGCUGAUGGAUGAGCCUGCGGCGCAUUAGCUAGUUGGUAGGGUAAAGGCCUACCAAGGCGACGAUGCGUAGCCGACCUGAGAGGGUGAACGGCCACACUGGGACUGAGACACGGCCCAGACUCCUACGGGAGGCAGCAGUAGGGAAUCUUCGGCAAUGGGCGAAAGCCUGACCGAGCAACGCCGCGUGAAUGAUGAAGGCCUUCGGGUUGUAAAGUUCUGUUGUAAGGGAAGAACAAGUGCCGCAGGCAAUGGCGGCACCUUGACGGUACCUUGCGAGAAAGCCACGGCUAACUACGUGCCAGCAGCCGCAGUAA